Molecule: long non-coding RNA, 447 nt
Filed under: Rattus norvegicus (Norway rat)
Lineage: Eukaryota; Metazoa; Chordata; Mammalia; Rodentia; Muridae
Description: long non-coding RNA NONRATT032662
Source: RNAcentral
CUCAAACUUCUCUUUACGUUUAUCACAGGAAAUGCCACCUGAAACUCUUGCAUUACAUCAGCCAAGGUUUUUGCUGCAAGGUGGGGAAGUGCAAACAGAAUAGACAUGACCAGAGAAUUCAUGAUCGAAGUCAAAGUGGAGGAUAGAAACUGCCAUCAUAGAAACCAUGUGGGGCUGCACAUUCCAAGCAUUUGAAACUGUCCCCAUUCCAAGUUCCAAGGAAACAGACCACAUCCACACUCUCCACCCUAUGUCAACAUGCUCUACCAUAGUCUUCUCAUCUCUUUUGUUUGGUUAUCUUCAAAAGAAAAAGUUGAAUAAAUAUUUGAAGAUAAGCUCAGAAUCAAGAGGACUUUCCCUUUUGUUCUUCUAUAAAUUGAAAGACAUAUAUGUUUAUAAAAAUAAAAGUAAAAAUACCACAUGUGUGGCUCAGUGUCAGAAGACUUG